CUGGCUCAGGAUGAACGCUAGCGGCGCGCUUAAUGCAUGCAAGUCGAACGAUGAGGCCCCUACGGGGGUACAUCAGUGGCAGACGGGUGAGUAACACGUAGGUAACCUGCCCUCGAGACGGGGAUAACGGCUGGAAACGGUCGCUAAGACCCGAUAUAGUCUGACCUUCGGGAGAAGGUGAGAGGAAAGGCUUCGGUGCUCGGGGAGGGGCCUGCGGCCCAUCAGCUAGUUGGAGAGGUAACGGCUCCCCAAGGCAAUGACGGGUAGGGGGUGUGAGAGCAUGGCCCCCCACACUGGGACUGAGACACGGCCCAGACUCCUACGGGAGGCAGCAGCAGGGAAUAUUGCGCAAUGGACGGAAGUCUGACGCAGCGACGCCGCGUGGAUGACGAAGGCCUUCGGGUUGUAAAAUCCUUUUCCGGGCGAUGAGGAAGGACACUAGCCUGGGAAUAAGCGUCGGCUAACUACGUGCCAGCAGCCGCGGUAAGACGUAGGACGCGAGCGUUAUCCGGAUUUACUGGGCGUAAAGCGCCUGCAGGCGGUCAGGUAAGUCGGUUGUGAAAGCCCCGUGCUCAACGCGGGGAGGCCAAGCGAUACUGCGUGACUUGAGGGCGGAAGAGGGGAGUGGAAUUCCCGGUGUAGCGGUAAAAUGCGCAGAUAUCGGGAGGAACACCAGUGGCGAAGGCGGCUCCCUGGAACGUACCUGACGCUCAGAGGCGAAAGCUAAGGGAGCGAACAGGAUUAGAGAACCUGGUAAGUCUAGCCCUAAACGCUGGAUGCUAGGUGUAAGGCUUGAUGAAGCUCUGUGCCG
Molecule: ribosomal RNA, 811 nt
Filed under: uncultured organism
Description: bacterial SSU rRNA
Rfam family: Bacterial small subunit ribosomal RNA
Source: RNAcentral